AAUAAGUGCAGUUUUGCACUAUUCACGUUCAACGUUUGACCGUCCGUCUUAUUUGAAAUUUUUUUAUNAUUUUUCAAAUAAGACGGACGGUCAAACGUUGAACGUGAAUAGUGCAAAACUGCACUUAUU
RNAcentral lists this microRNA precursor (129 nucleotides) under Oryza rufipogon (brownbeard rice). Its description in RNAcentral is "MIR812 microRNA precursor family". It matches the Rfam family "MIR812 microRNA precursor family". The record is from Rfam by way of RNAcentral. Lineage: Eukaryota; Viridiplantae; Streptophyta; Magnoliopsida; Poales; Poaceae.